CAGUAGCCGCGGGAACACGAAGGGGGCUAGCGUUGUUCGGAAUUACUGGGCGUAAAGCGCACGUAGGCGGACAUUUAAGUCAGGGGUGAAAUCCCGGGGCUCAACCCCGGAACUGCCUUUGAUACUGGGUGUCUAGAGUAUGGAAGAGGUGAGUGGAAUUCCGAGUGUAGAGGUGAAAUUCGUAGAUAUUCGGAGGAACACCAGUGGCGAAGGCGGCUCACUGGUCCAUUACUGACGCUGAGGUGCGAAAGCGUGGGGAGCAAACAGGAUUAGAUACCCGAGUAGUCCCUGUCUCUUAUAC
RNAcentral lists this ribosomal RNA (301 nucleotides) under uncultured bacterium. Its description in RNAcentral is "partial 16S ribosomal RNA". It matches the Rfam family "Bacterial small subunit ribosomal RNA", at positions 509 to 807 of the family's 1533-position model. The record is from RNAcentral.